GACAGAGGGUGCAAACGUUGCUCGGAAUCACUGGGCGUAAAGGGCGUGUAGGCGGGCGUGCAAGUCAGGCGUGAAAUCCCUGGGCUCAACCCAGGAAUUGCACUUGAAACUGCACGUCUUGAGUAUCGGAGAGGAAAGUGGAAUUCCUGGUGUAGAGGUGAAAUUCGUAGAUAUCAGGAGGAACACCGGUGGCGAAGGCGGCCCUCUGGACGGUGACUGACGCUGAGACGCGAAAGCGUGGGGAGCAAACAGG
RNAcentral lists this ribosomal RNA (253 nucleotides) under uncultured bacterium. RNAcentral describes it as "partial 16S ribosomal RNA". It matches the Rfam family "Bacterial small subunit ribosomal RNA", at positions 524 to 776 of the family's 1533-position model. The record is from RNAcentral.